UGCCCCUAUUGAAACGAAUUUUCAAAUGCAAACAGAGUAAUAAAGAUGAGUCAGCUGAAGCGCUAGUUGUUGCACCCUAGGAUUUGAGGAAAUGGAUGUCCAGCUCCAGAAGGUAAAUACUGUGAGUCGUGCUGUACCUAGGGGAAUGGUAGCUUGGAAGUAGAAGAUACGAAGAUUACGCUCCUUCCAUGAACACCAAGAAGCAGUGGC
This 210-nucleotide long non-coding RNA is filed under the name Elaeis guineensis (African oil palm). Its description in RNAcentral is "long non-coding RNA (EGUI_LNC003851)". Lineage: Eukaryota; Viridiplantae; Streptophyta; Magnoliopsida; Arecales; Arecaceae. The record is from RNAcentral.